UGUGUUUGUCAAUUUCAUAAA
RNAcentral lists this non-coding RNA (21 nucleotides) under Caenorhabditis elegans. The record is from RNAcentral. Lineage: Eukaryota; Metazoa; Nematoda; Chromadorea; Rhabditida; Rhabditidae.